This 630-nucleotide long non-coding RNA is filed under the name Ornithorhynchus anatinus (platypus). Its description in RNAcentral is "lncRNA (ENSOANG00000036356.1)". Lineage: Eukaryota; Metazoa; Chordata; Mammalia; Monotremata; Ornithorhynchidae. The record is from RNAcentral.
UGUGUUUCCUGAGCAUUUCCUAGCUCUCAGCACAGUGCUCUCUACACAGUAAGUGCUCAGUAAAUAUCACUACUUGAUUGAAGAGCAGCCUGGCUUAGUGGGUAGAGCACGAACCUGGGUGUCAGAAGGACCUGGUUCUAAUCCCAGCUCCACCACGUGUCUGCUGUGUGACCUUGAGCAAGUCACAUAACUUCUCUGGGUCUCACUUACCUUAUCUGUAAAAUGGGGAUUAAGAGUAUGAGGUUCAUGUGGGACAGGGACUCUGUCCGAUCUGAUUAACUUCUAUCUACCCCAGGGCUUAGAACAUUGCUUGGCACAUAGUGUUUAACAAGUAACAUUAUUAUUAUUAUUUUUGAUAGAGGCCCUCCAGCGGUGAACAAGGAGUCCCUGGAAAGGAGAUAGAGAGCCCCCCAACUAUGGCAUUCAGGAGGAAGAGGAGAGAGAGAAGGCAGGAGCUUCCUGGAAAGCUUGGAUUUGAGCACAGACCUGGAUCCAGUGAUGUUGUUGUUAUCCAACCCGGCCCGGGAAAGGGGCUAACGGAGGAUGAGACCGGUCUCGGGGGGCGAGAGCAGGGUAGGCCCCUGAGGGUGCUCCAGGGCUGCGGCCCAGGUGCGACCACCUGGCAGUCAG